UAGAGAAUCUUGCACAAUGGGCGAAAGCCUGAUGCAGCCACGCCGCGUGAGGGAAGAAGGCUCUCGGGUCGUAAACCUCUUUCAGUCGCGAAGAAGCGCAAGUGACGGUAGCGACAGAAGAAGCCCCGGCUAACUAUGUGCCAGCAGCCGCGGUAAUACAUAGGGGGCGAGCGUUGUCCGGAAUCAUUGGGCGUAAAGCGCGUGUAGGCGGCCCUGUAAGUCGAAUGUGAAAUCUCCGGGCUCAACCCGGAAACUGCAUUCGAUACUGCAGGGCUUGAGGUAGGUAGAGGAGAGUGGAAUUCAUGGUGUAGCGGUGGAAUGCGCAGAUAUCAUGAGGAACACCAGUAGCGAAGGCGGCUCUCUGGGCCUCACCUGACGCUGAGACGCGAAAGCAUGGGUAGCAAACAGGAUUAGAUACCCCCGUAGUCC
Molecule: ribosomal RNA, 429 nt
Filed under: uncultured prokaryote
Description: bacterial SSU rRNA
Rfam family: Bacterial small subunit ribosomal RNA
Source: RNAcentral